AGUGGCGGCACCGCCCCCUCCUCCUGGCACGGCUGGGCUGCCACAGCGCCUGCUCGGCUGAGGUGCAGUGAGUUCACAACCUGGAGCUGGCGUUAGGCUCGGUGGCGGUGGAAGAGCAGCUGAAGGCUUCGUGCGCGCCCCUGUCCCUGCGCCUAGGGAGGCAGCAUUGUGCGCCCUGGCCCAAAAUGGUGGCCUCUUCGGAAGGAUGCGCCCCAGGGCACCUCAGAAGACGUGCAAAGGUAGCGCAGUCGAGACUUGCGAAGGAGAUGGGACAGUGAUGCUACCCCUCGUCGGACCCAGAAGUUGCCAGGAGAUGGGGACUUGGGUGGGGGGUGACCAGGACUCCAUGCGUGGCAAAUCAAGUGUCUUCGAGCCUGGGGAUUUUGAGCCGCUGUAGCGCAGGGACCGUGGUCAGCCCUGGUAGAGACCCUGCGUCAUGCCUGGCGGGCCGCGCAGAUCCGAAACUCAGAAUCCUUUGAGCAACGCUUGGAUUCACAGGUCUAUUUACAGAGUUCUUGGUGAGCGGGCAUUUUCUCCCUGCGCGGCGCGUCCCCAGACCUCUCCGGCCUUCCUUCCUGGACCGCACUGGUCUGGUGACUUAAAAUUCAGUUCUCACAUACCCUUCUGUUUCUCCCGGGGCCCUAGAAAACCUGGUGCACACAGAACUGCUGGACUCUGCCGGUGGUCUCUGCAGUUGGGUGCCUGAACAGGGACUUGAGAUAAGGGGAAGCGGUGAAGGACACCACGGUGUUGGCAAGCUUGGAUCAUAAACUAAAGAGAAACGGGCACGGAUACAAAAGGAGCUUGGUGGAUCCCAGAAAAGGUGGUGCGAUUUGCCAGAGCUGUUUCCCAGAUGGAGGAUGCUCCUGCUGCUGACAAUAAUGAAUUUUGUCCUGAUGGUGAAUUGAGAGCUGUAUUGGGCUUGUGCUCCUGACCCACCUUUGUUUCAUUCUGCUUCUGGGAGAAGAUGUGCAGAGAAACUUUUUAGAUACAAUGUGACUAGAAUAGACAGAUACAUACUUGAUUAGUCUGGUAAUCAGGACAAUUCUCAACAAAAUCGGGAGGAUAAAAAAAAAGGACUGACUAUGGGUCUUUGGUCUGAUUCUGGUUUUCAGCAGACCUAUAUUUGGAAGCUUGCCACAGAAACUCUUAGGAGGCCCUGUAACUGCCUGUGUAAAUUCUCCUUUGUUGUGUGGAAAUAUUAACAUUUUUAUACACACUUCAAACUUAAUGUUUCUUGCUAAGCCUUCAAAUGGACAACAGGUUCAGGUUGUUUGACAGCCUUCUUUUAUUAUGGUUCCUGUGAAUGUUUCUCAGGCUUGGUAUUUUGAUAAGGGGUCAUCUUUUAAGUCACGUUUGGUAAGAAUAUAUCUUUCAAGAGAGACAACCUAAGAUAAGCACAAUCUUCUGCUCUAUAACUCUUAAGUUAUGGUCAAUUUUAAAAAUAUAAAAAAGGGAGACCUGUGGAGAGCUGUUUGUUUUCACCCUGGCCUUCACCUGGAGACAGUGAUAGGCAGGAUGUUUUGCCAAGUUACUUCCCUUUUGCUUGUGUGAAGAUCACACAGACGAAUGGUGGAGGUGAACAAGUUUGACUUCUCUUUCAAUCCUCACCCCCCACUCAGGAACUGUUUGACUCUGCCAGCAGGCUCCAGCAACAGAUCCUCCUGCCCCUGACUCCCAAGUGGUGGGAUUAAAGGCGUGUGCCACCCACACUUUGUAAAAUUAAAAUUUGUAUUACUCACUCAAAUAUACUGUAAAUUGAAAUAAAUAAAAUAAAGUUUUAAGCCAGG
Meriones unguiculatus (Mongolian gerbil) is the source of this 1790-nucleotide long non-coding RNA. RefSeq lists it as uncharacterized. NCBI's taxonomy places the organism in Eukaryota, Metazoa, Chordata, Mammalia, Rodentia, Muridae. The record is from RefSeq and is a predicted model, not a curated record. The transcript is spliced from 3 exons.